GAUGAACGCUGGCGGCGUGCUUAACACAUGCAAGUCGAACGGACUUUACAUGAAACCUAGUGAUUGUAAAGUUAGUGGCGGACGGGUGAGUAACGCGUGGGUAACCUGCCUUGUACAGGGGGACAACAGUUGGAAACGACUGCUAAUACCGCAUAAGCGCACGGAGCUGCAUGGCUCAGUGUGAAAAACUCUGGUGGUACAAGAUGGACCCGCGUCUGAUUAGCUAGUUGGUGAGGUAACGGCCCACCAAGGCGACGAUCAGUAGCCGGCCUGAGAGGGUGAACGGCCACAUUGGGACUGAGACACGGCCCAAACUCCUACGGGAGGCAGCAGUGGGGAAUAUUGCACAAUGGGGGAAACCCUGAUGCAGCGACGCCGCGUGAGUGAAGAAGUAUUUCGGUAUGUAAAGCUCUAUCAGCAGGGAAGAAAAUGACGGUACCUGACUAAGAAGCCCCCGGNUAACUACGUG
RNAcentral lists this ribosomal RNA (469 nucleotides) under uncultured bacterium. RNAcentral describes it as "bacterial SSU rRNA". It matches the Rfam family "Bacterial small subunit ribosomal RNA", at positions 28 to 507 of the family's 1533-position model. The record is from RNAcentral.